GAUUAUGGCUCAGGAUGAACGCUAGCGACAGGCUUAACACAUGCAAGUCGAGGGGCAGCACGAUGUAGCAAUACAUUGGUGGCGACCGGCGCACGGGUGAGUAACGCGUAUGCAACCUACCUAUCAGAGGGGAAUAACCCGGCGAAAGUCGGACUAAUACCGCAUAAAACAGGGGUUCCACAUGGAAAUAUUUGUUAAAGAAUUAUCGCUGAUAGAUGGGCAUGCGUUCCAUUAGAUAG
Molecule: ribosomal RNA, 239 nt
Filed under: uncultured bacterium
Lineage: Bacteria
Description: partial 16S ribosomal RNA
Rfam family: Bacterial small subunit ribosomal RNA
Source: RNAcentral